Molecule: long non-coding RNA, 717 nt
Organism: Chenopodium quinoa (quinoa)
Lineage: Eukaryota; Viridiplantae; Streptophyta; Magnoliopsida; Caryophyllales; Amaranthaceae
Exons: 3
Source: RefSeq, a predicted model, not a curated record
GCUGCUUUAAGUGGUGGCAGCUGCAUUUUCUUGAUUGCUACAACCUGAGGGAUACACAAAGCAACAGCCUCUAAUCAGAGAUUUUAUGAUGGUGGCUUCUGUUCCUCAAGUUGCCAAAAUUCAACAGUUUCUAUUGUAACUUAAAAAAGGACACAAUGAUGAGCAAGGAUGCAUUACAAGAUUCACCCUGGUCCUGAGAUUUGCUCCUUCUCCGUUUGUUCCAUGCCGAAACCAAGCCAAAGGGCAUUAUGGGAACACAAAUUAGCCUUGUAGAACAAAGCUACUUCUUCGUGUGCUGGAUGACGUUGAUAAAACCGAACAAGCUUUGAUUUACCAUACAAGAGAUAGACCGGCAGGCCAGCAAACUAAAUUAUGCAAGUAUGAGUUGAGGAAUCCUUAAGAGGAGUACAUAGAGAGGAAGUGAAAACUUGAUUUGAAGAAUACUCCAUUACACUAACCUUCCAACAACCUUUGAGAUUUUAGAGAGAGAAAGUGAGAUAGAGAGUACUUUAAGGAAAAGAAAAAGCACGAGUCUCAAGAGUCAGGAGUAGGGGUUGGUUUGAUAGUGAGAUAGAAGCUUAAGUCUCUUUUAUUUUCUAUUUUUUCCUGUAACUGUUUCUCUUGAAAGAGUGAAAAAAUGGUCUGAGCUGUUGAGAUGGCAUUUUCAUGGAAAAUCUUAAUAAAAAAAAUCUUAAUAAAAAAAGAAAAAUUAAAUAA